Molecule: ribosomal RNA, 506 nt
Filed under: uncultured bacterium
Lineage: Bacteria
Description: partial 16S ribosomal RNA
Rfam family: Bacterial small subunit ribosomal RNA
Source: RNAcentral
GAUGAACGCUAGCGGCAGGCCUAAUACAUGCAAGUCGGACGGGAUCUAUCGGAGAGCUUGCUCGAAGAUAGUGAGAGUGGCGCACGGGUGCGUAACGCGUGAGCAACCUACCCAUAUCAGGGGGAUAGCCCGGAGAAAUCCGGAUUAAGACCGCAUAACACUGUGAUUUGGCAUCAUGUUACAGUUAAAUAUUUAUAGGAUAUGGAUGGGCUCGCGUGACAUUAGCUAGUUGGUGAGGUAACGGCUCACCAAGGCGACGAUGUCUAGGGGCUCUGAGGAGAGAAUCCCCCACACUGGUACUGAGACACGGAACAGACUCCUACGGGAGGCAGCAGUAAGGAAUAUUGGUCAAUGGGCGGAAGCCUGAACCAGCCAUGCCGCGUGCAGGACGACUGCCCUAUGGGUUGUAAACUGCUUUUGUCGAGGAAUAAACCUAUCUACGUGUAGAUAGCUGAACGUACUCGAAGAAUAAGGAUCGGCUAACUCCGUGCCAGCCGCCGCAGUAA